GUUGCGGACCCGCCUUAACCAGGCUUUGGUCCGGAGCCUUUUGCUCCGCUGGCAGCUGUGGGGUGCCUGACCCGUUAGUGGGAUGCAGGCUUGUGGAUUCCCCACUUUGGGGAGAAGGAGCCUCCCGCGGCCUCUGGGCCCAGGGCAGCCCUGUAACUCAGGGUGCUGAUGCUCUGGUUCCCUGGGCACUUGAAAUUGUCAAUGGCUCCUCGGAGCCCCCCUGUAAGCCAGGGGUCCAGGCUCUUGGGCCGUUGCUGUGUGUGCCCAGCUUUCAUUUGCCCUUGGUGCCAGCCUUGGAGCCCUGCCGCAGCGCCGCAUGAAGGUCCUCUGCGUGUACAACACGCAGCCAGCGCAGAAGAAGGAGGAGGCGUCGUGUGGAACGGCGAGGCAAGAGCGAGCGGCAGAUGGAAGACGGGCAAAGAGGAGGACACCCUGGGCAAAGGCUUCGCCCUGUUAGCGGGGCUGUAGGUAGAGGAGAGCAGUGCUGGCACAUGAGGUGCCUGGAUUGUUUUGUGCUGGGCGACCUCCCUGUAAGCAGGGCUCGGGUCUUUGCGAUUGUAAUCGGCCUUUUGCCUUGUUGCUCCUUUGGCUGCCUGGGGGGAGCGGCCCCCUGUAAUCAGGGGCACAGCUGCUCUCUCCGCACCCGGGAGGACUGUGGAGCUUGCCGGACCCCAGGGCCUCCCUGUAGUCAGGGCAGAGCCAAUUCCCCACCCCCUUAAUUUUAGCCGUCUGGCUCUUUGUCUAAACUAUUUGUCUAAACGUGAUGGACUAUGGAAACUUAGUAUAUGACUGAUGCCUACGCUAUAAUGCCAACUAUUGCAUAAAAAGCAAUAUAAAAGCGAUAUAUAUAUAUAUAAUAUGGCCUAUAUGAAUACUGUGAAAACAGAUUCUCUAAAGGAGAUGAACGAUAAAUUAUGAUGCAUGCUGUGUUUCAGCACCCCGUAGCUGGGGUGCGUUGUCCAAUUGGGUCUCGGCAGAAGCCGUUUCGGCUUCUGGACGUCUCUGGCAUCACUGUAAUUGAUGGUGCGUGGGGUACCGCCCUGUAAGCAGGGUCAAGCGUAGCCCCGUGUCUCUCCCUGCAAGGAGCCCCCUGUAGCCAGGUGGGUCUCCGUGUCCCCCGCUUUCCAUGGGCCUGGGGCCACUAGAAGUAGGGCCGGGUUUUCACCCUCCCUGUAAGCAGGGCUUGGGGCCCGAGCCUCGGCAUUUGGCCAUCUGGCUCCGCUGGCGGGGGAAAGGUUGAGCUCUGCGGUUCCAUGGGUGUUGCGGACCCGCCUUAACCAGGCUUUGGUCCGGAGCCUUUUGCUCCGCUGGCAGCUGUGGGGUGCCUGACCCGUUAGCGGGAUGCAGGCUUGUGGAUUCCCCACUUUGGGGAGAAGGAGCCUCCCGCGGCCUCUGGGCCCAGGGCAGCCCUGUAACUCAGGGUGCUGAUGCUCUGGUUCCCUGGGCGCUUGAAAUUGUCAAUGGCUCCUCGGAGCCCCCCUGUAAGGCAGGGGUCCAGGCUCUUGGGCCGUUGCUGUGUGUGCCCAGCUUUCAUUUGCCCUUGGUGCCAGCCUUGGAGCCCUGCCGCAGCGCCGCAUGAAGGUCCUCUGCGUGUACAACACGGUAAGAAAAGCUGCUUUCGGUUGGCCUUGUCCUCUUCUCCGUUUGCUGUAACCUCUGAGGUUGUCUUUUUUAGGGUGGUUGUUAUGAGGAGCUGCCUUGGGUUUCCUUUUACCUUUAGUUACCAGAUUGAGAACUGUGUUGUAAGCUCUAACUGUUUUGCCUUUGGUUUGCAACAGCGUAUGGAGAAGAAAGAAAUAACAGAAUUCUAGGGCUUGGGAGCGACCUCAAGAGGCCAUCGCAUUCAACACCGUUAGCAAAAAAGGUUCCCUUGAUGAAAUGUCAUAGGGAGGCAUCCAUACAAGUCAAAAAUAACUGCAGAGAAGGUAGCUGAGCAGCCUCGUGCAGUAUUCCGUCACCUUCCACCAUAGUGGUACAGAACUUCCUCUGCUCCAUUCU
Molecule: non-coding RNA, 1998 nt
Organism: Anas platyrhynchos (mallard)
Lineage: Eukaryota; Metazoa; Chordata; Aves; Anseriformes; Anatidae
Source: RefSeq, a predicted model, not a curated record